This is a long non-coding RNA of Esox lucius (northern pike), 1130 nucleotides long. RefSeq lists it as uncharacterized. Lineage: Eukaryota; Metazoa; Chordata; Actinopteri; Esociformes; Esocidae. The transcript has 10 exons. The record is from RefSeq and is a predicted model, not a curated record.
GUGGCAAAAGCUGUGAUUGCAUGGAACACAGGAGCCAAACACAUUUCAAUUAGGAGCACCUGGCAAAGCAAACCAGGGCAUUCAUCCCACCUGUGACAGGACCUUUAAAAGAAGCAGGCAGUGAGAAGCUGUGAAGACCCUUGCAGGGAACCAAAGUGAAGUAACCUGUGGUGCUUAAACGGACACUCGCCAUCUUGACCGUGAUCGUGCUUCUCAGUGCCCCCUUCACGCUGGCUGGCCCAAAGGAGGGGUCACAGAACAAACCAUGCCGACAAGGAUGGGUGAAAUUUCAAUCCCGCUGCUUUCAGUUUAUUAGGACUCCCAGAACAUGGAUGGAGGCAGAGAGCCACUGUCUAAACCCUUGGGGCCAACCUGGUGUCAGUUCACAGCCCAGAGGAGUCCCACUUUCUAUGGCAGUUGACAGAUGGUUCCCCUGCCUGGGUUGGGGGCUCUGAUGCUGUCCAGGCACACUUUGUAAAGGUCCUUAAGAAGGAGAGGAGCUACAGAACUCACAUCACAGGAAGACUCAGUGGAGGUGUUAGAAGAGGACUUAACAAGUGGUGUGAUAAACUGAGGUGCUCAGAAGGACAACAUCACCAUGGGGGUGUUAAUGAUGUUCCUGCUUCUCAGUGCUGCUUUUUCUUUGGGAGAUGCAUGUUUUAGGCCACACGGAUGUAAUCAGGGAUGGCAGCAGUUUGGAUCCCGCUGCUUCCGUUUUGAAGAGAUUCUGAGGUCAUGGACUGAGGCAGAGCGUCACUGUCAGUCUCUUGGUGAACACCUGGCCUCAGUACACAGCUGGAAGGAGUCUAGGUUCCUGGAGACGUUGACUGUAGGUUCACCUUUGACCUGGAUUGGAGGAAAUGAUGGUGGUCUGCCAGAGUUGACAAAGGACAGGAGCUGGUCCUGGACUGAUGGCUCUGGAUUUAAUUACCAUGAAUGGGAUGAAGGGGAACCCAACAACUAUAAUGGUGUCAGAGAGCUGUGUAUUCAGAUGAACAUUGGAGAUGAACAUCGCUGGAACGAUGAGGUCUGUGAAAAGAACUGUGCUUCUGUCUGCUCCAGAAACCAUUAAAUCAACUGUUGCUGUGGCAUCGUCCUGUUGAAUGUUGUGGUUGUCAAUUAAACGGCUG